CCCUUAUUCCAUGUUGCCAGCACGUAGUGGUGGGGACUCAUGGGAGACUGCCGGGGUCAACUCGGAGGAAGGUGAGGACGACGUCAAAUCAUCAUGCCCCUUAUGUCUUGGGCUUCACGCAUGCUACAAUGGCCGGUACAAUGGGUUGCGAUACUGUGAGGUGGAGCAAAUCCCAAAAAGCCGGUCUCAGUUCGGAUUGGGGUCUGCAGGUCGACCCCAUGAAGUCGGAGUCGCUAGUAAUCGCAGAUCAGCAACGCUGCGGUGAAUACGUUCCCGGGCCUUGUACACACCGCCCGUCAAGUCACGAAAGUCGGUAACACCCGAAGCCGGUGGCCUAACCCUUGUGGGGGGAGCCGUCGAAGGUGGGACCAGCGAUUGGGACUAAGUCGUAACAAGGUAGCC
RNAcentral lists this ribosomal RNA (402 nucleotides) under uncultured bacterium. Its description in RNAcentral is "bacterial SSU rRNA". It matches the Rfam family "Bacterial small subunit ribosomal RNA", at positions 1102 to 1501 of the family's 1533-position model. The record is from RNAcentral.